RNAcentral lists this long non-coding RNA (527 nucleotides) under Phascolarctos cinereus (koala). RNAcentral describes it as "lncRNA (ENSPCIG00000005426.2)". Lineage: Eukaryota; Metazoa; Chordata; Mammalia; Diprotodontia; Phascolarctidae. The record is from RNAcentral.
CUACCCAGGCUCUUGGUACAGUGGUGCCCCUGGGUCUGGUCUAAGUGGGUAGUGGCAUAGGAAGUCCUCAGGGGAAGAGAAGCUGUGAGCCUGCCCUUGGGGAGGGAGGGAGGAGGGGCCAGUGCAGUGAAAACUGAGCUGGCUUAUGAAAUCCCCUUUUAAACCAAGUAAUAAAAGCAGACCUUCUGGUUUUCUUUUUUAAGGGCGUGUGUUUCUUCUGUGGUAUUAGGGAGUUACAUUUUGUUUAGUUUUUCCUGGAAACCAGUAAGCAGGAGAUGCCCCUAACUUGCCUUAAAGACCCAGGGAAACAAGCAACGGGGCCCUCUGCCAGGAAGCUGUUAACUUCCUUUUGAGGCUGUGUGAAUGUAAACAUCCCUUUCAGUCAUAGAAGUCAGGCUCUUCUUUGGAACUUGUACUGUGGACAAAGAAAGCUGCUGCCUACUCUCCCAAAGGCAUCUGGCAUGGGCUGGACAGGUACAAGGGAGCCCUAUUUCUCCCUGCCACAUUCUCUGUGCUCUCCUACAUGA